RNAcentral lists this ribosomal RNA (253 nucleotides) under uncultured bacterium. Its description in RNAcentral is "partial 16S ribosomal RNA". It matches the Rfam family "Bacterial small subunit ribosomal RNA", at positions 524 to 776 of the family's 1533-position model. The record is from RNAcentral.
UACGUAGGGGGCAAGCGUUGUCCGGAAUCAUUGGGCGUAAAGCGCGCGUAGGCGGCCCGGUAAGUCCGUUGUGAAAGUCAAAGGCUCAACCUUUGAACGCCGAUGGAUACUGCCGGGCUAGAGUCCGGAAGAGGCGAGUGGAAUUCCUGGUGUAGCGGUGGAAUGCGCAGAUAUCAGGAGGAACACCGGUGGCGAAGGCGGUUCUCUGGGCAUGUCCUGACGCUGAGGAGCGAAAGUGUGGGGAGCGAACAGG